Long non-coding RNA from Gorilla gorilla gorilla (western lowland gorilla), 2258 nucleotides. RefSeq lists it as uncharacterized. The transcript is spliced from 3 exons. The record is from RefSeq and is a predicted model, not a curated record. NCBI's taxonomy places the organism in Eukaryota, Metazoa, Chordata, Mammalia, Primates, Hominidae.
GUGGGAUGCUGUGAAUCUCAGCCACAAAGUGGAUGACUUAGCCCUGGAUCCAAAAACCCUAAGUUUGCAUGUUAAGACCAAAUGAAGAUUACACUGCAAAGGAAAAUGGACCCGUUUAACAAGAGCUAAAUUAAAAGGCACACUGUUCAGAGAAACAGACUUCAAGAUGAGGGAGUGAAUGUUGCCAAUGACAUACAUACUCUAAAGGAUUUCAUGAUAGACUGCAGUCCUCAAGCAUUUAGGACGGAAGAAAUGAACACUAUCGAGAAAUGAUACCUGUCGGCAAGAAGGCCAUACUGGGGUGAACUGUUCCGUUCACACAACACAGCCCAAGCCAAGCAACGAAGCCACCAAUCACAGCAGGCCAAGGAGGGGGACGGGAGCAGAGAGCAGGUCAUCAACGGCGACAAGGACAUUCAGUGAUGCAGAUAUAUGGGCCCCACAGUUUGGGUUUUGUUUUUUUUGUUUUUUUUUUUGUUUUUUUUUUGCAAUCAAAGCCAAGUGCAGACAACGACAAGCAUGAGGGAGAAAAAAAAACACAAAACAAACGAAGAAAUGAGGGAUUGCAAGACAACAAAAAACAUAAAAGCAAGACAGAACAACACAAAGCAGAAAGCCAAGGCAAAGCACAGAUUAGCAUUAAAUAUCUCAAAUGGGAUCACAAGUAGCAAAUGAUUACUGCAAAUAAAAGCAGAAGUUUCAAUUACACAGACCCAUAUCCUUUCAUUUCAGCAAUUAACACUAUGUGAUGUAAAUAAUCAAAAGGAGGAAGAAGGAUAAAUACACCAGGGAGAGAAGAACUGCUACUCAUUACCUAAAUACAGGAAUCACACCUCUUCCCACUUACAAAAAACCACAGACCCCCACACCCCUCACCCCAAAAGCCCACUAUAGAUACAACUGCAGAAAACAAUAAUCUAAAACAACCACUGCCAGGCGUGGUGGCUCAUGCCUAUAAUCCUAGCACUUUGGAAGGCUGAGAGGGUGGAUCAUCUGAGGUCAGGAGUUCGAGACCAGCCUGGCCAACAUGGUGAAACCCUGUCUCUACUAAAAAUACAAAAAUUAGCAAGGCAUGGUGGCACACACCUGUAAUCCCAACUAUUUGGAAGGCUGAGGCAGGAGAAUCGCUUGAACCCGGGAGGCAGAGGUUGCAGUGAGCUAAGAUUGCGCCACUGCACUCCAGCCUGGGUGACAGAGUGAGACCCUGUCUCAACAAAGAAAAAAAAACUGUUCAUUGAAAAGCCUGCACAAGCAGUUAAAUACUGACUACAGCCAUCAAGUGAUACAUUUCAAAAGGAAAUGAUGUGUGCAGGUACCUGAUUAAAGAUGGCUUGGUGCAAAGAUAAACACUUUAGACUACUGUUUUAGUAAACAUGAGAAAAGUUUCAUGUCCAGUUACUUGCUUUUUAAAACAUAAGGUACUUAUAACUUGAGUCCCACCUUUUCUAGGUUUCAAAUGAGUAAAGAGCUAGAUUUUUACUCACUGCAAAAUCAAAGCAUUAGGUCUACAAAGCAUUAGAAGCACGCCUAACUUUUUGUAAAUAAAAGAAAAAGUUUAAGUGACUUUUCAAAGCUAGAAAUGCAUCUGCAACACACAAGUUCAGCAAAAACCAACACCAUGGAUUUGGUAUUAACAAACAAAUAAAGGGUAUUAAUAUCAUCCAGCCUUGUUAUUAUUGUAUCAGAGCCCCAAAUAAACACCCAACGCAAGCUAUACUUGUAGCUGAUCACUGAAAACAGGAGACAAACUGUGGUUAAGAUAGAUUAGUGAAUGAGAUUUACGUGAUUACAGCCACUGAUUGGGCAGGAGAAAAUUAGGCAGAGGUGCCUCGUUUAUUAGACUCAAAUCAUCGUCUGUCACAUACAAGGCUGGGUUGGGAAAAGUAAGGUACAGAGAGCUAUGUGAGGUUUUCCUUUUAAUUUGCUUAAUGAGGCAAAGAAAAGACUCUAGAAUCCUGUUUUCAUAUAUUCUAAUAACAACUACUUAGGGAUAGGCCUCAUAUAAAAAGGAAAUAUUUCCAAAAAGCUGUCUAGCGAGUUUCAGUUAAAAGUUUAAAAAUCUUCUCAGUUUUGCCUCAGGCUGUGGUGAUCAACAAAAACACAGUAGAAAGAGAAGUGGGGCCUGGGAUAUAGACCCAUCUACGCCAACAACUCACAAAGUUGCUUAACUUCUCAAGUUCUUGGGAGGAACCCAGGUAACUGAUGCAAGGCUACUCUGAUAGAAAAUUUUAUAGUUCUGCAAACAAAGGCAGAAGGCA